Pygoscelis adeliae (Adelie penguin) is the source of this 3274-nucleotide RNA transcript. It is a transcript of the gene named caspase 2, apoptosis-related cysteine peptidase, with no coding region annotated. The transcript has 11 exons. The record is from RefSeq and is a predicted model, not a curated record. NCBI's taxonomy places the organism in Eukaryota, Metazoa, Chordata, Aves, Sphenisciformes, Spheniscidae.
UGGCUUUGGUCUCCCCUCUCCUGCCAGGAUGCUGGUUGCGUGGGGCAUGCAGCGAUGUCACCAGGAAGCGCUAAAGAGGAACCGAGUGGUGCUGGCAAAACAGCUGGUUUUAAAAGAAUUGGUGGAGCAUAUGAUAGAGAAAGACAUCAUCACCACGGAGAUGAUGGAAAUGAUACAGGCCAAAUCUGGGAGCUUCAGCCAAAAUGUGGAAUUCCUCAAUUUGCUGCCCAAGAGAGGCCCUAAUGCCUUCUCAGCCUUCUGUGAAGCUCUGCGAGAAACAAAACAGCAGCAUCUGGAGGCAAUGAUCUUGAAGACAACAUCUAACCUGAGCCAUGGGAUUGCAAGGCUUGAACACUGUAACGGAUCAAGUCUUCCAUUCCCUGCCAGUGAAUCAUGUAAUUCAAAGAGACCGCGCUGGAUUGAACCAAUGGAACAUUCCUUGGAUAAUGGGGAUGGUCCCUCAAUUCCUCCAGUGAAGUACUGCACUCCUGAAUUUUAUCAUGAUCAUCAGCAUUUGGCAUAUAAACUGAUAUCAGAGCCCCGAGGCUUAGCACUUAUUCUCAGCAAUGUCCAUUUCAGCAGCGAGAAGGACUUGGAGUAUCGUUCAGGGGGAGAUGUGGACUGUACUUCCCUGGAGAUGCUUUUCAAGCAUCUUGGGUAUCAAGUGACUGUCUUUCAUGAUCAAACUGCACAGGAGAUGCAGAAUGCAUUGGAGAGAUUCUCUAAGAUGCCAGAUCACCGGGAUGUGGAUUCCUGUAUUGUAGCUUUACUUUCCCACGGUGUGGAAGGUGGGAUUUAUGGCAGUGAUGGCAAACUACUACAGUUGCAGGAGGCUUUCCGGCUCUUUGAUAAUGCAAACUGUCCAAAUCUCCAGAAUAAGCCCAAAAUGUUCUUUAUUCAGGCCUGCCGUGGAGGUGUAAGUGGGACCCAUAUUCACCUCCCUCUGCCCUGCUGCUGCCACUGCAUCUGUUGCUCUAUGAGACGGACCGGGGAGUGGAUCAAAGAGAUGGGAAAGAAUGGUCAGAUUCCCCAGGCUGUGAGGAAAGUGAUGCAAACAAGGAAGAAAAUCUCAAGCUGCGUCUGCCUACGUGCUCUGAUAUGAUCUGUGGAUAUGCUUGUCUGAAAGGCACUGCAGCCAUGCGAAACACCAAGCGUGGAUCCUGGUAUAUUGAGGCUCUCACCUCUGUGUUUGCAGAGGACUCACGAGACACUCAUGUGGCUGACAUGUUGGUGAAGGUGAAUAGGCAAAUCAAGCAACGAGAAGGUUAUGCCCCAGGCACAGAAUUUCACCGCUGCAAGGAAAUGUCAGAAUACUGUAGCACGCUCUGUCGGGACCUUUACCUGUUUCCUGGCUAUCUGCCAGGAAAAUAACUGCCAGCUCUGUUGGAAGAGAGAUGCUGCCAAAGCUGAACUUUGAGUAUGGAUGUCUAUGUUUUCAUUCUUAUGGGCUGUGACAUCAGGUGCACAAGCAAGGAAUGCUUGUUUAUAUCUGGCCAGUCCAAUUCUUGAUGUCUUUUUCUAAAAUAAUCUGGCAACUCUCUUUGUAAUCUGAUUCAGUUCAGGGUUUAAAAUUCUAAUAUCCUGACUUAUUCCAUAUGUACAGAAAUUGAUGGAAAGAGGAUCAGCACUGGAACUGGGAGGAAGUGGGAACAUCCUUUGGAAGGAGACACAAGGACGUUUGUAAGCAAAGUGAAUAUGAAAAGGGAAACAGACUAUUCAUACAUUUUUUUUUUAAAGUUAAGCCUUUCUGAAAGGAAAAUUAUUCAUACAAUGCUACUUAUCUUAUGCUUGUAUUUUAAAAUUUUUAAAUACUUUCUGCCUGGUUCUUCAUGCAGGACAGUCAGCUCCUGUGCACAUUAGAAAAGGACUCCCCUGUGAAGGAGAAUCCUUCCCCUCUUUAAAAUGGAAGGUUUUUGUUUUCAUUACUUGACACUUCCCUAUCCAUCUUGAUCACUUAAAAGUCUAUUUUUGUACAUUCCUUCUGUAGCCGCCAAGUUAUGAAGAGAACUACAAGACAUCCCAGGUUAUCAGCAAAACAAAUAGAGAUCCAGGAUUUCUCAAACAGACAAAUAAGCCUCCAUAAACUGCCCAGAAAUAGUUUUGAAUCUAGAAAUUCUAGAUUAGCUCCCCUUAGUCCCAAGCGUGAACAACUGCAUGGAAUAUUACUUUUGAGGAAUUUGUUUGCCAUAGUACUUGUGUGUCACAACAGGCAUAGCAUUCAAUCCACCAACUUCUCAGGAGUCUAUAAAUUGUACUGUACAACUGAAUCCCUGAAACCCUACAGCCUUGUACAAAAGGGUCUUGUGUCUUUUGUUUAAUUAACAAAAAUAGUCAAGGCAGCUCUUUACAGUCUAAGCGUGUUGCUUGGAUUAUUUAUCACUGCAGUUUGUUUCCCUUUUAAAUGAAAGGGAACUGUUUCACAUUAUUACCUUGUUAUGUGAGUUUUCUUUCUUCAGCCAUGAUCACUUAAAGCUGUUUGUUUAGUCAAUAUUGUUUGCAAAGUGUCAUUUCAACUGGUCAAUAAGAAAUGUUGUGGCAUAAUCUAUCACUUCUUUUGGAAAUUUCCUACACGGUCUCUUCAUGCUGUAAUUUGUCUCUUGCUUGUGUCCAGUUGCAGUUACUCCCAUUUGAUGUGAUGUGGGAGAUGGGCAUUGUUCUCUUUUUGUGGUAGAGCCUAAGUCCUGAUAUACUGGGUUACAUAUGGACUACAGUCUGUUCACUUGAGUCCCGAUCUUCUCCAUUUUGUAGCAGUAAGUUGGCAUAGUUCCUGGCUUACUCUUUUUAUGUAAGUGUGGCUUUUAAAGUAUUUUUUUAAGGAUAGAAUUAUGAAUAGGAAGUACAAAAGGAUCUGGAGGGAGGCUGGAAAAUUAGGCAUGUGCUUUUUUUAUUGUUCUGCCUAGGAAAAUGAAGGCUGUGUUUCCUCCAGCUGACAAAGGUGCAGCAUUAUCAUGCAUCUUGCACUUACCUUACACACAACGUGAUAAACAGAAUAAGGAUCAUACUUGCCAAUUGGUGCCUUACUCUGAAGUUUAAGAUACCAGUUGAGGGGGGCUGUUGUACCUCCCUGGAGUAUAAACACUUUCUCCCUGAGUGCUCCCUCUUUGAAAUGGUGCAAUAUUUUACAGAUACGUAUAUUGAUGAAGCGGUCCACUCUGAUGGAUUAGAUUUCUGUAGGAUUGCAUCAAGUUGCAUUAUCACUGCCACUUUCGUAUAUACUUUUUGUAUACUUGUAUUUUACUGCCUUGAGGUGUCAAAAUAAAGAAUUCUUGUUUGA